GGCUCAGUAGGUUGGUCGUGCCACCGGUACGUACUGGUCUCACUGAUUCCUCCUUCCUGAAGAACCGUAAUGCCAUUAAUUUGGUGUUGCGGGGAAACAGGACUGUUACUUUGAAAAAAUUAGAGUGUUUAAAGCAAGCUAACGCUUGAAUUCAUUAGCAUGGAAUAAUGAAAUAGGACGAUCGAUCCUAUUUUGUUGGUUUCUAGGAUUGACGUA
RNAcentral lists this ribosomal RNA (216 nucleotides) under Glomeromycotina sp. RNAcentral describes it as "partial small subunit ribosomal RNA". The stretch from base 40 to 216 matches the Rfam family "Eukaryotic small subunit ribosomal RNA", at positions 686 to 864 of the family's 1831-position model. The record is from RNAcentral. Lineage: Eukaryota; Fungi; Glomeromycota.